RNAcentral lists this long non-coding RNA (371 nucleotides) under Mytilus galloprovincialis (Mediterranean mussel). Lineage: Eukaryota; Metazoa; Mollusca; Bivalvia; Mytilida; Mytilidae. The record is from RNAcentral.
CUUCGCCGCAAAUUUUCUUAAAAGCAUUAACGUAUCAACUUUUGAACCAUUGGAACACCUGAAGCUUACCAGCUUGUUUUUAGUUUCGUGUCAUAUUAAUCAUCUGAAGCCUGAUUCGUUUAGUCGUUUGAGGUAUCUCCUUGAACUAGAUCUUAGUGAAAACCUUUUAUCAUCAAGAACAGUAGCGGAAGCCGUAGAGCGAAUCGGUUCAUUACAUUUCCAGUCUAUUCAUUUAAAUUAUCUUUUUUGGAGGGAUGAGCCAACUGAAGUAUACUUGUCACUAUCUCGAUUCAAGAUCAAACGGUUUGAAAUGUAUGUCAUUAACUUUAAUAACUUGAAUAUGACAUUUUUAGGUGAACAAUUCCCAUUUU